Molecule: ribosomal RNA, 879 nt
Filed under: Streptomyces sp. 1011TES2B70
Lineage: Bacteria; Bacillati; Actinomycetota; Actinomycetes; Kitasatosporales; Streptomycetaceae
Description: bacterial SSU rRNA
Rfam family: Bacterial small subunit ribosomal RNA
Source: RNAcentral
AGCAAAAAUGGGGGGGUGCAUACACAUGCGAGUCGAACGAUGAACCACCUUCGGGUGGGGAUUAGUGGCGAACGGGUGAGUAACACGUGGGCAAUCUGCCCUUCACUCUGGGACAAGCCCUGGAAACGGGGUCUAAUACCGGAUACUGACCUGCCAAGGCAUCUUGGCGGGUCGAAAGCUCCGGCGGUGAAGGAUGAGCCCGCGGCCUAUCAGCUUGUUGGUGAGGUAAUGGCUCACCAAGGCGACGACGGGUAGCCGGCCUGAGAGGGCGACCGGCCACACUGGGACUGAGACACGGCCCAGACUCCUACGGGAGGCAGCAGUGGGGAAUAUUGCACAAUGGGCGAAAGCCUGAUGCAGCGACGCCGCGUGAGGGAUGACGGCCUUCGGGUUGUAAACCUCUUUCAGCAGGGAAGAAGCGAAAGUGACGGUACCUGCAGAAGAAGCGCCGGCUAACUACGUGCCAGCAGCCGCGGUAAUACGUAGGGCGCAAGCGUUGUCCGGAAUUAUUGGGCGUAAAGAGCUCGUAGGCGGCUUGUCACGUCGGUUGUGAAAGCCCGGGGCUUAACCCCGGGUCUGCAGUCGAUACGGGCAGGCUAGAGUUCGGUAGGGGAGAUCGGAAUUCCUGGUGUAGCGGUGAAAUGCGCAGAUAUCAGGAGGAACACCGGUGGCGAAGGCGGAUCUCUGGGCCGAUACUGACGCUGAGGAGCGAAAGCGUGGGGAGCGAACAGGAUUAGAUACCCUGGUAGUCCACGCCGUAAACGGUGGGCACUAGGUGUGGGCAACAUUCCACGUUGUCCGUGCCGCAGCUAACGCAUUAAGUGCCCCGCCUGGGGAGUACGGCCGCAAGGCUAAAACUCAAAUGAAUUGGACGGGGAA